GGCAAACCCACCUACGUCAUCUAAAAUCCCAAAUGCCUCAAAGGAGGAAAAGAUGAGAAUUUACAAGUUUUGGAAUUGUAACUCAAUUUUUUAGAGGACUUAUGGCAAACUGUAAGGGAAAUACAUGCCUGCGUUGGAUGAGGUACAGGGCUGUGGAAACUGCCCGUUUUCUAUAUCAUCUGUAUGGAUGGAUUCCACAUGAAGGAUACAAAUUUCAUUCUCUUUAAAGCCACCAUCUACUGUUGAGAGCUCUGGUGACUUCACUCCCCUUCGCUCUGAUGUCAGUGUCUCUGCAGCAGAUUGUAAUGCAUCGCCUUCCUCCUCUUUGACAGGAGGAUCUAGGUUUACAGGACUAUCUUCUGAAAUUUCAAUGAUCUCACAGUCUUUAUCAGAAUUUUCUUCUUCAUUCUUAACAUCUGUAUCUGAAGAUUGACACAAGUCAGUGUGUUGGUUAUUUUUCAUAGAAAGAUCAAUUUCCAAAUACUUUGACAAAGCUUCUGUGCAUUUUUCCACAAUGUGAACCAUCUGAAGGUAACUGGCAGCAGUCAAGUAUUUCAAAAGCUCUUUUCUUUUUACUUCAAGUGCUCCAGUAUAGCAGGACAACAGCAACUUCCUGCCAACUUCUGCACUCUGCAGAAUGGUAAUUCUGAUGUGUUUUGACUGUGUGAGUAAAAACUGAUCUCUCAUAAAAGUGGAGCAAGCAGCCAAAAUCACCUUGUGCCCCUGGAACUCAGUAUCGUUAAUAUAAAUCGAUACAUCACAAAAU
Molecule: long non-coding RNA, 766 nt
Filed under: Rattus norvegicus (Norway rat)
Lineage: Eukaryota; Metazoa; Chordata; Mammalia; Rodentia; Muridae
Description: long non-coding RNA NONRATT018090
Source: RNAcentral